Long non-coding RNA from Cervus elaphus (red deer), 1539 nucleotides. RefSeq lists it as uncharacterized. The transcript is spliced from 3 exons. The record is from RefSeq and is a predicted model, not a curated record. NCBI's taxonomy places the organism in Eukaryota, Metazoa, Chordata, Mammalia, Artiodactyla, Cervidae.
GGGCUACAGCGACCGAGCGCGCCCACGACAGGUGUCAGGGCGGCCGGCGCUCCGAACGCCUGCCACCCCGCCCCUCCCCGAGCCCAUGGGCCCCGGGAUGCCAGGGCCGGGGCUGCUAACGCCUUCACCACCAGCGAGAGGGAGAAAGCUUGGGUCUCCAAGAAAGAGACUUUGACUAACUUUGAAGGAGGUGUGGGCCUGACGCCGAAAGCCGAUUCGGAACCGGCCCCCGGCGAAGGUGGAGUUUCGGUCGUUGGAAAGCCUUCCUCUGAGAGAGUCUUAGUGGCGGGAACCUCAGGAGCGAGCAGGCCGGAGAGGGGCCAAGUCAGCUGCCUCGGGGAGCUGUUGAGGAGAGGGAGGCCGGGCUGUAGGCUUGCUGGGCCACGCCACUUCGGGCCAACUGAGUCCCAGAGGGCGUGCAGGACCUGGGCAUGUCUAGGGAACCCGGCAGCACGGGGGAGUCCUGGAAAAUCUGCAGGAACUCAGCUGGCACUGAGGACUAGCGUGGGUGCCAGGAUGAAGCUGAGUUGGGGGUGGGGGGAGUGCUCGGAGCCCUCCUUUCUUUGUCUUAGCAAAUCAGAAAACAACACAGCGAGGAUUUGGAAAGAGAAGAAACGCACACUAUUUCCAAAUGCUGCCAGAUUAACCGAAUGAUUUUAGCACACACUGCAGAUUCACAACGCCACCUAAAACGGCCUUCUACUUCGUAAUCCCCUGGUGGAAGCCUACACUUUGAGUGCCAAGGUCCCUCCCCAAGCCUGAUAUUCUGUGAUUUGCCAGCAGCCUCUCACAAGCUACAUCCAGAUAAAGAAUCACCAACAUGGAAACUAUCCAAAUGUCCAUCAACUGGUUGGUGUGUGAUGAACGAACCUUGGUCCCUCCAUACAAGAGAACACAUACUGCUCAGCAAUGACAGGAAAAUGCUACUGUUGGACAUGACAACAUGGAUUAUUCUCACAAACGCUGUGUCCAGAGAGAGAAAUCAGACUGAAAAAGAGAACGUACUGUUUGAGGAGAUAGGACAAAGCAUCUAAGAAAAGAAAUCAUCAAUCCAUGCUGCAAGACUCUUCAAUUCAUCUCUGAGUGAGUUAUGCACCUCUUCAGUUCUCAAUCCAUUUCUUCAAGACUUGACAAGGGAUCUAGAAGAUUGUGCAGAACUCUAAGAGGUUUGCUAAAUCUUGAACAGUUUAAUCAUAUGAUAUCCCUCAUAUUCAGUUCAGUUCAGUUCAGUUCAGUCGCUCAGUCGUGUCUGACUCUUUGCGACCCCAUGAACCGCAGCAGGCCAGGCCUCCCUGUCCAUCACCAACUCCCGGAUAUAUGGAGUCUUAAAAAAUGAUAAAAAGGAACUUAUUUACAAAACAGAAAGAGUAGAAAACAAACAUGGUUACCGAAGGGGGAGGGAUAAAUUAGGAAUUGGGGGUUAACAGAUGUACACUACUAUAUUCAAUACCUUGUAAUAACCUAUAAUAUAAAAGAUUCUGAAAAAGAAUAUAUGUGUAUGCAUAUAUAUGUAUAACUGAAUCACUUUGCUGUAACAUU